Molecule: non-coding RNA, 330 nt
Organism: Chlorocebus sabaeus (green monkey)
Lineage: Eukaryota; Metazoa; Chordata; Mammalia; Primates; Cercopithecidae
Source: Rfam
GCCAGGCGCAGUGGCUCACACCUGUAAUCCUGGCACUUAGAAGGCUGAGGUGGGCAGAUCACUUGAGCCUGGGAGGUGGAGGCUGCAGUGAGCCAAGAUUGUGCCACUGCACUCCAGCUUGGGUGACAGAGCGAGAUUCUGUCUUAAAAAAAAAGAAAAUAAGGCCAGGCGUGGUGGCUCACNNNNNNNNNNGUGAGCCACCACGCCUGGCCUUAUUUUCUUUUUUUUUAAGACAGAAUCUCGCUCUGUCACCCAAGCUGGAGUGCAGUGGCACAAUCUUGGCUCACUGCAGCCUCCACCUCCCAGGCUCAAGUGAUCUGCCCACCUCAG